Molecule: microRNA precursor, 201 nt
Filed under: Oryza sativa Japonica Group (Japanese rice)
Lineage: Eukaryota; Viridiplantae; Streptophyta; Magnoliopsida; Poales; Poaceae
Description: MIR812 microRNA precursor family
Rfam family: MIR812 microRNA precursor family
Source: Rfam by way of RNAcentral
CACCACCCCUGCAAUACCAAUCCAUACAACGUUUGAUUCUUCGUCUUAUUUACUUUUUUAAUGAUAAAUAUUCUUAUUGUUAUUAGAUGAUAAAACAUGAAUAAUACUUUAUAUAUGUCUAUUUCAUUAAAAAAAUUAUAAAUUUUUUAAAUAAAACAGAUGGUCAAACGUUGGAUACAGAAAUACAAAAAUGAACUUAAU